RNAcentral lists this transfer RNA (82 nucleotides) under Alcanivorax sp. Its description in RNAcentral is "tRNA-Leu". It matches the Rfam family "tRNA". From Rfam's summary of the family: Transfer RNA (tRNA) molecules are approximately 80 nucleotides in length. Their secondary structure includes four short double-helical elements and three loops (D, anti-codon, and T loops). The record is from RNAcentral. Lineage: Bacteria; Pseudomonadati; Pseudomonadota; Gammaproteobacteria; Oceanospirillales; Alcanivoracaceae.
UCCGGAUGGGUGUGAAAGCACGACGGAUUCAAAAUCCGUUGCCUUCGCGGGCGUGCCGGUUCAAGUCCGGCCUCUGGUACCA